Molecule: ribosomal RNA, 450 nt
Filed under: uncultured bacterium
Lineage: Bacteria
Description: partial 16S ribosomal RNA
Rfam family: Bacterial small subunit ribosomal RNA
Source: RNAcentral
AGCGAACGCUGGCGGCAGGCCUAACACAUGCAAGUCGAGCGGGCAUAGCAAUAUGUCAGCGGCAGACGGGUGAGUAACGCGUGGGAACGUACCUUUUGGUUCGGAACAACACAGGGAAACUUGUGCUAAUACCGGAUAAGCCCUUACGGGGAAAGAUUUAUCGCCGAAAGAUCGGCCCGCGUCUGAUUAGCUAGUUGGUGAGGUAAUGGCUCACCAAGGCGACGAUCAGUAGCUGGUCUGAGAGGAUGAUCAGCCACAUUGGGACUGAGACACGGCCCAAACUCCUACGGGAGGCAGCAGUGGGAAUAUUGGACAAUGGGCGCAAGCCUGAUCCAGCCAUGCCGCGUGAGUGAUGAAGGCCCUAGGGUUGUAAAGCUCUUUUGUGCGGGAAGAUAAUGACGGUACCGCAAGAAUAAGCCCCGGCUAACUUCGUGCCAGCAGCCGCCGUAA